This 434-nucleotide ribosomal RNA is filed under the name uncultured bacterium. RNAcentral's name for it is "partial 16S ribosomal RNA". It matches the Rfam family "Bacterial small subunit ribosomal RNA", at positions 29 to 507 of the family's 1533-position model. The record is from RNAcentral.
AGCGAACGCUGGCGGCAGGCCUAACACAUGCAAGUCGAACGAACCUUUCGGGGUUAGUGGCGGACGAGUGAGUAACACGUGGGAACGUGCCUUUAGGUUCGGAAUAACUCAGGGAAACUUGUGCUAAUACCGAAUGUGCCCUUCGGGGGAAAGAUUUAUCGCCUUUAGAGCGGCCCGCGUCUGAUUAGCUAGUUGGUUGAGGUAAUGGCUCACCAAGGCGACGAUCAGUAGCUGGUCUGAGAGGAUGAUCAGCCACAUUGGGACUGAGACACGGCCCAAACUCCUACGGGAGGCAGCAGUGGGGAAUCUUGCGCAAUGGGCGAAAGCCUGACGCAGCCAUGCCGCGUGAAUGAUGAAGGUCUUAGGAUUGUAAAAUUCUUUCACCGGGGACGAUAAUGACGGUACCCGGAGAAGAAGCCCCGGCUAACUUCGUG